UUUUAAGUAACUAUAUUUAACAAUUUAUAAGAAUGUAUUUAAUGAUUUGAUGUAACAAAAAACAAAAAAUAAAAAUUUUAAAUUAUUUAAACUAUUUCAAGUGUUAUCGGGGAAAAAACAUUAAAUUUUAGCAAUCCUCGAACCAAACCAAAUCACGGUUUAUUCAGCCAUAAUGGGCUAUGCAGUCACAAGCUCACAGCGUUUUGGGUUGAAGCAUGAGUAAAGAAUUUUGGGCCUGGCCUGCUUAAAAUUUUAUUUUACUUUUUAAAAAUUAAACCAUAUUUGUUUUAUAAUAUUAAAAUUUUGGAUUUAUGGAUGUAAGUUUGAACGAUAUAUACAAGUCUCGAAGUCCAAAUAAGCUCUAAUCCGUGGA
Molecule: long non-coding RNA, 373 nt
Filed under: Theobroma cacao (cacao)
Lineage: Eukaryota; Viridiplantae; Streptophyta; Magnoliopsida; Malvales; Malvaceae
Description: long non-coding RNA (TCAC_LNC002140)
Source: RNAcentral